GACGAACGCUGGCGGCGUGCCUAAUACAUGCAAGUCGAGCGAACAGAUGAGAAGCUUGCUUCUCUGAUGUUAGCGGCGGACGGGUGAGUAACACGUGGGUAACCUACCUAUAAGACUGGGAUAACUCCGGGAAACCGGGGCUAAUACCGGAUAAUAUUUUGAACCGCAUGGUUCAAUAGUGAAAGGUGGUUUCGGCUGGCACUUAUAGAUGGACCCGCGCCGUAUUAGCUAGUUGGUAAGGUAACGGCUUACCAAGGCGACGAUACGUAGCCGACCUGAGAGGGUGAUCGGCCACACUGGAACUGAGACACGGUCCAGACUCCUACGGGAGGCAGCAGUAGGGAAUCUUCCGCAAUGGGCGAAAGCCUGGCGGAGCAACGCCGCGUGAGUGAUGAAGGUCUUCGGAUCGUAAAACUCUGUUGUUAGGGAAGAACAAAUUUGUUAGUAACUGAACAAAUCUUGACGGUACCUAACCAGAAAGCCACGGCUAACUACGUGCCAGCCGCCGCAGUAA
This 514-nucleotide ribosomal RNA is filed under the name uncultured bacterium. RNAcentral's name for it is "partial 16S ribosomal RNA". It matches the Rfam family "Bacterial small subunit ribosomal RNA", at positions 28 to 523 of the family's 1533-position model. The record is from RNAcentral.